This 812-nucleotide ribosomal RNA is filed under the name uncultured bacterium. Its description in RNAcentral is "bacterial SSU rRNA". It matches the Rfam family "Bacterial small subunit ribosomal RNA", at positions 51 to 855 of the family's 1533-position model. The record is from RNAcentral.
ACACAUGCAAGUCGAGGGGCAGCAUGAUUGAAGCUUGCUUCAAUUGAUGGCGACCGGCGCACGGGCGAGUAACGCGUAUCCAACCUUCCGUACACUCAGGGAUAGCCUUUCGAAAGAAAGAUUAAUACCUGAUGGUAUGAUGAGAUUGCAUGAUAGCAUCAUUAAAGAUUUAUCGGUGUACGAUGGGGAUGCGUUCCAUUAGGUAGUAGGCGGGGUAACGGCCCACCUAGCCUACGAUGGAUAGGGGUUCUGAGAGGAAGGUCCCCCACAUUGGAACUGAGACACGGUCCAAACUCCUACGGGAGGCAGCAGUGAGGAAUAUUGGUCAAUGGACGAGAGUCUGAACCAGCCAAGUAGCGUGAAGGAUGAAGGUCUUACGGAUUGUAAACUUCUUUUAUAAGGGAAUAAAACCUCCCACGUGUGGGAGCUUGUAUGUACCUUAUGAAUAAGCAUCGGCUAACUCCGUGCCAGCAGCCGCGGUAAUACGGAGGAUGCGAGCGUUAUCCGGAUUUAUUGGGUUUAAAGGGAGCGCAGACGGGUCGUUAAGUCAGCUGUGAAAGUUUGGGGCUCAACCUUAAAAUUGCAGUUGAUACUGGCGUCCUUGAGUGCGGUUGAGGUGUGCGGAAUUCGUGGUGUAGCGGUGAAAUGCUUAGAUAUCACGAAGAACUCCGAUUGCGAAGGCAGCACACUAAGCCGUAACUGACGUUCAUGCUCGAAAGUGUGGGUAUCAAACAGGAUUAGAUACCCUGGUAGUCCACACGGUAAACGAUGGAUACUCGCUGUUGGCGAUAUACGGUCAGCGGCUUAGCGAA